Molecule: ribosomal RNA, 252 nt
Filed under: uncultured bacterium
Lineage: Bacteria
Description: partial 16S ribosomal RNA
Rfam family: Bacterial small subunit ribosomal RNA
Source: RNAcentral
ACGGAGGGUGCAAGCGUUAUCCGGAAUCACUGGGUUUAAAGGGUGCGUAGGCGGUUUUAUAAGUCAGAUGUGAAAGCUCCCAGCUUAACUGGGAAACUGCAUUUGAUACUGUAGAACUUGAAUCACGUUGAGGUUAGCGGAAUGUGACAUGUAGCGGUGAAAUGCAUAGAUAUGUCAUAGAACACCAAUUGCGUAGGCAGCUAACUAGGCGUGUAUUGACGCUGAGGCACGAAAGCGUGGGGAGCGAACAGG